This 354-nucleotide long non-coding RNA is filed under the name Homo sapiens (human). RNAcentral's name for it is "HSALNT0370983". Lineage: Eukaryota; Metazoa; Chordata; Mammalia; Primates; Hominidae. The record is from RNAcentral.
AGUCAACCUGUCAGUCAACAGGCAGAGGGCUGCAUUCCUUCGUUCGUAUGUUCCUUGGUUCAUUCAUUCAGAGACCUCCGAAGUGUUUCUUGAGGAAAUGUGGCUGCAGACCCUAGAAGAAGCUACACAGCACUUGCCAGGGCUGGGAUGAUGUCCAGGCCAUGGAAACACCGUGUACCUGGUCCCAGGAAGAUGAAGUGUGGGCCCAGAGACUAAUGGCUUGAGCAUCUCAGGCUAAGGUUGCCGAGAAGUAGACAGCACCUCUAGAUCCUAGUCAACAUCUCUACAGGCUUGAAGUCUCCCCAGAGGGCAAGGUUGGAAUAAAUCUGAAGCCUGUGGCUUGCCUGGGAGCUG